This 83-nucleotide transfer RNA is filed under the name Ilumatobacteraceae bacterium. Its description in RNAcentral is "tRNA-Leu". It matches the Rfam family "tRNA". From Rfam's summary of the family: Transfer RNA (tRNA) molecules are approximately 80 nucleotides in length. RNAcentral also lists the same sequence under 1 other name. The record is from RNAcentral. Lineage: Bacteria; Bacillati; Actinomycetota; Acidimicrobiia; Acidimicrobiales; Ilumatobacteraceae.
GGGCGAGUGGCGAAAUGGCAGACGCGCUAGCUUCAGGUGCUAGUAAUCGAAAGGUUGUGGGGGUUCAAGUCCCCCCUCGCCCA